CAAGGUGUAGAAAUGAGAAGUCAAAGGCAAUCUUGCUCCAGUCCAGUCUCUUGACAUAUUAGCACUGGCAGACACAUGCUGAAAGAUGCUCUUUUGGCAUUUUUAUAUCUGCAUACUCAUGUACAGCUCGCCAGACUUGUACUUUCCUACACAAUCAAGUACAGGUCAUGACAAACUUGACCAAUUGAAUUGUUUGAAUUUGAUAUUUCUUCACUAAUAAGUAUUCAUAUUUAUAUAAAACUUAGGAUCUAUAACCAGUGCUGUAACUAGGCAGGUGCAACAGGUGCACCCACACGGCCCACUUGGAAGAGGGGCCCAAAAUGCAUGUAUUUGUUUUAUUACUUUCCCAAACCUAAUUAAUUAAGGGGCCUAAAUGCAAAUUCCUGCACAGGAAUGGCUAGUUACGGCACUGUCUAUAACACUUGAGUCAAUUUGAAUCAAAUUCCUUUAUACAAUGCUUAUUUGUCAGUACAAAGAUGAUUAUACUGUUAACAGUACAGUUGAUACAUGGGAAAUAUCAAAACUUUAGUGUUUUAAAAAUUGUAUCAAUUUAUCAUGGAUAUGUGAUAUUGUAUAACAUAUAAAGUAAAAAUAUCUUGAUUAUAUCUGUUGACGUUGCCAGUCAAAAUUAUUUUUAUUGGUUUAAUGUAUAUAAAUAAGCAUCCUUAGUGUGAUACUUUGUCCCUUGUUAUUGGCUUUAGCAUAAUGUGAUAUGAAGGAAAAGCAGAGUAUCAUAGCAGUAAAGAGAAGCAUCAUGCUUUAUACCUGUAUCUAGUUAUUAUACACGGAGAAAAACUAAUGUAUUCGAUAUAUAUUUCAAUUCAUGAAUCGAAUUUCUAUAGUACAAGUAGAACUCUUACAUACAGAUGAAAGGCCCCUUUGAGUUUAAAUUGGUCUUCAAUCCGUGGUUCCAAAAUAAGGUUACAUCAUGAUCUUCGUGAGUUUAAAACUUUUGAACGUAUAGAAACUAGUAUAUAUCUGAAAUUAGACGAGACAUACACCUUAAGGCAUUUAAAAUUACUUUAUAUGUAAAUAUAAGAAUAUAUUGGUGUUUAGUUUCAGCAGAGGUAAGGUGUAGAGUCUACGCUUACACCUACACUAAACGACGUAACCUGUCAUUUAGCGUAGGCCAGAAACAACGGAAGUUCAAGUUCAGAAUAAAUACGGAAAAGCAGGUAGGGUCGUUGACUCUGGUAUGACGACCUUAGGUGCUGCGAAACGCUCAUCAUGAAUGUCUCCCGCUUUUUGAUCGCUCUUGUUUUGGUCGUACCGCAUUUUUGUUUAGACAAUCGCAACCAAGAAAUUGAUAAGAAUAAUGAUAAGGCCACUAGAGAAUCAAGAUUGAGGAGGGCCAUCAUAAAAACGUCGUCUCCUGCUUUGUUACUGCUCUCGUUAUCCGUAGGAGCAAUAGCAACGUUUUACUUAUUAGAAUCUCCCCUCUCUCCGUUACCUCUUCUUCCCUUGCCCUAUCCACCGGUUGGCACUUAUCCACCCAAAGAAACGGUGGCUGCCGGAAGAAAUUUUGCCAAGAAUCAAUGGAUGCUGUUUACUAAACAUUGACAUUUGAUUAAAUAUCCGGGUAAAAUGUGAUAUUGAGAGGAUUCCGAAAGAAAAUACGAGAUUUAUAAUAACUAAAAUGUCGAAUUUUAUGUAAUUUAUUCUUCUUAAUAAAGUAAUUUAAUUUAUAAUUGCUGACUUUUAUAAUUUAUAUUUUUAAAUAUAAUAAUUUUUAUUUAAAUGAAAUAUAAGGUGGAAACUUAUGUGAAUGUAAUCUGCUAUGAGAAGUUUUUAGCAUUUACCAACGAGUGGGGUCUAACGAUGGCCGAGAGGAUAAAACCACCGAAAACUUGUCACGGGUUCGUUCCUCAUUAACCCGUGGAAUUUUCCGGGAUUUCCUUGCGUGUACACUUACGUGGGGACAAAUUUUCAGUAGAAAAUCUUCCUAUGAGGUACAGGUACAGUACCUCCUUGCCUGACCGCUCGCGUGUUGCGUUACCUCAUCCCAUCAAGCCACUCCGGGUGUGUGUCACUCUUCAGAGUCCUCGGCAAUUUCGCAAUUUUUCAAAGUAUUAAAGGGGAGUAUCAAAUAACAGAUUAGGAAUGAUUAUUUAAAAUGCGACUGAGUACAUUCCUUCACUUAAUUAAAUAUGAAUAUCUAAAGCAGAUAUUUGUAUUAAGUAACGUAUAAGAACAGUAUAGUAAGCUCAUCAUGAAAUAUAGAAUGUUAAAUUUUGUAUAAAUAGGAUGCCAAAAAUAAUUAGAGACUUCAGCAUUUCGUGGCUUCCCCUUUCUGGUCCUCUUCUAUUUUUGAGUUUAAUU
Centruroides sculpturatus (bark scorpion) is the source of this 2319-nucleotide RNA transcript. RefSeq lists it as uncharacterized. The transcript has 3 exons. Lineage: Eukaryota; Metazoa; Arthropoda; Arachnida; Scorpiones; Buthidae. The record is from RefSeq and is a predicted model, not a curated record.